UACGUAGGGGCCUAGCGUUGUCCGGAAUUAUUGGGCGUAAAGGGUGCGUAGGCGGCGCGGUAAGUCGGGUGUGAAAUCUCGGAGCUUAACUCCGAAACUGCAUUCGAUACUGCCGUGCUUGAGGACUGGAGAGGAGACUGGAAUUUACGGUGUAGCGGUGAAAUGCGUAGAUAUCGUAAGGAAGACCAGUGGCGAAGGCGGGUCUCUGGACAGUUCCUGACGCUGAGGCACGAAGGCCAGGGGAGCAAACGGG
RNAcentral lists this ribosomal RNA (253 nucleotides) under uncultured bacterium. Its description in RNAcentral is "partial 16S ribosomal RNA". It matches the Rfam family "Bacterial small subunit ribosomal RNA", at positions 524 to 776 of the family's 1533-position model. The record is from RNAcentral.